RNAcentral lists this ribosomal RNA (640 nucleotides) under uncultured bacterium. RNAcentral's name for it is "bacterial SSU rRNA". It matches the Rfam family "Bacterial small subunit ribosomal RNA", at positions 32 to 719 of the family's 1533-position model. The record is from RNAcentral.
AACGCUGGCGGCAGCCUACACAUGCAAGUCUAGCGCCCGGGCAACCGGGAGCGGCGCACCGGUGAGUAACACGUGGGAACGUGCCUAUCGGUUCGGAAUAACUCACUGGAAACUUGAUCUAAUACCGAAUACGCCCCAAGGGGGAAAGAUUUAUCGCCGAUAGAGCGGCCCGCGUCCGAUUAUCUAGUUGGUGAGGUAAAAGCUCACCAAGGCAACGAUCGGUAGCUGGUUUGAGAGAACGAUCAGCCACACUGGGACUGAGACACGGCCCAGACUCCUACGGGAGGCAGCAGUGGGGAAUCUUGGACAAUGGGGGAAACCCUGAUCCAGCCAUGCCGCGUGAGUGAUGAAGGCCUUCGGGUUGUAAAACUCUUUCGGCGGGGACGAUAAUGACGGUACCCGCAGAAGAAGCUCCGGCUAACUUCGUGCCAGCAGCCGCGGUAAUACGAAGGGGGCUAGCGUUGUUCGGAAUUACUGGGCGUAAAGCGCGCGCAGGCGGUCUUUUAAGUCAGGGGUGAAAGCCCAGAGCUCAACUCUGGAAUUGCCCUUGAAACUAGAAGACUUGGGUACGGGAGAGGUGAGUGGAAUUCCCAGUGUAGAGGUGAAAUUCGUAGAUAUUCGGAAGAACACCAGUGGCGAA